UUUGUUACAGUCUGUCAUUUUUGUUUAUCGUUCAUUGCUUCAACCAUAAAUUAGUCCUUCAUUUUAUGUCGUUUUUACUGUUUCGCAAUUUGUCAUGCUAGGUUUUAUUAUUGCAUACCAUUUAUACGGAAUGGGGUUUGCCCAUUUUUGAUGGCUGUAAGGUGACUGAAAGUUAUUUACAUCUGCGUUCUUUUAGGAAGACCUUACUAAAAUGUUGACAGGGCAAGUAACUAAUAACAUGUCGUUUUCGUUUCACA
RNAcentral lists this long non-coding RNA (257 nucleotides) under Mytilus galloprovincialis (Mediterranean mussel). The record is from RNAcentral. Lineage: Eukaryota; Metazoa; Mollusca; Bivalvia; Mytilida; Mytilidae.